Molecule: unclassified non-coding RNA, 174 nt
Filed under: soil metagenome
Description: partial internal transcribed spacer 1
Source: RNAcentral
CCGAAGUGAUGCGUCCCUUCUCGGGACGCAACUUCCAACCCCAUGUUUACCUGAAACAAAGUUGCCUCGGCGUCUGGAGCCCUCUAUUAGGGGGCUCCGCGCCGGUGGACACAACCGAACUCGUUUUUUGAACGUAUUAUGUCUGAGUCAGAUAAUUUUUAAAUUAAAAAAGCA